Molecule: ribosomal RNA, 376 nt
Filed under: uncultured bacterium
Lineage: Bacteria
Description: bacterial SSU rRNA
Rfam family: Bacterial small subunit ribosomal RNA
Source: RNAcentral
GAUGAACGCUAGCGGCAGGCUUAAUACAUGCAAGUCAAGGGGGUAGCAAUACAACCGGCGCACGGGUGAGUAACACGUACACAACAUACCAUAUACUGAGGUAUAGCUUCGGGAAACUGAAGGUAAUCCCUCAUAGUAUUGUGAAAGGGCAUCUUUUUACAAUUAAAGUUUCGACGGUAUAUGAUUGGUGUGCGUUUGAUUAGCUAGUUGGUAGGGUAACGGCCUACCAAGGCAACGAUCAAUAGCUGGCGUGAGAGCGCGACCAGCCACACUGGAACUGAGACACGGUCCAGACUCCUACGGGAGGCAGCAGUAGGGGAAUAUUGGACAAUGGGGCGAAAGCCUGAUCCCAGCCAUGCCGCGUGAUAGAUGAAGG